Long non-coding RNA from Grammomys surdaster, 311 nucleotides. RefSeq lists it as uncharacterized. The transcript is spliced from 2 exons. Lineage: Eukaryota; Metazoa; Chordata; Mammalia; Rodentia; Muridae. The record is from RefSeq and is a predicted model, not a curated record.
GGGGUUAUGGCGCUGCACACGCUGCUCCUGCUGCUGGGGCGGCCCAGACCCAGACGCCUGCUGGAGCUGAUCCUCAGGAGCAGUCCAUUGUGAUGACACCUUCUUUCCUGCCUCAGCCUACUGCCUUGCUUAAACACUGCAGGAGCUGUCUCAAAGGAGCUGUACACAGUGUUAGUGCCUUCUCUCGAGCCUCCCCCAGCAGCCCCACACAGAUGGCGCCUCAGCAAACUCCACCUGCAGUUGGGAAGGACAUUCCACCCUAAGCCUUGGCCUCAAUGCAGGGAAAAGAGGCGGUUAAAAAAAAAAAAAAA